UACGAAGGGGGCUAGCGUUGCUCGGAAUUACUGGGCGUAAAGGGUGCGUAGGCGGUCGGGUAAGUCUGACGUGAAAUCUCCGGGCCUAACCCGGAAACUGCGUUGGAAACUGCCUGGCUAGAGGAAUGGAGGGGAGACUGGAAUACUUGGUGUAGCAGUGAAAUGCGUAGAUAUCAAGUGGAACACCAGUGGCGAAGGCGAGUCUCUGGACAUUUCCUGACGCUGAGGCACGAAGGCCAGGGGAGCAAACGGG
This 253-nucleotide ribosomal RNA is filed under the name uncultured bacterium. Its description in RNAcentral is "partial 16S ribosomal RNA". It matches the Rfam family "Bacterial small subunit ribosomal RNA", at positions 524 to 776 of the family's 1533-position model. The record is from RNAcentral.